GCCCAAAACAUCUAGCCACGCCACACCCAUAAGGGUCUACAGCAGUGAUCAACAUUAAAAAUAAACGUCAGUUUGAUUUAGUCAAGUAAUACAAAGCCGGCCAAUCUGGUGCCAGCCGCCGCGGUUACACCAUGUGGCUUAAAUUGAUUUUAACACGGCGUAAAGCGUGAUUAAAGAGACAGUCUUCUGGGGUUAAAAUUUAAUUAAGCUGUCGCACGCUUAUUCUUAAGAAACUCUAUCUCGAAAGAUACCCCAACCCAUCAACUUGAAUUCACAACAAUUAGGACACAAACUGGGAUUAGAUACCCCACUAUGCCUAACCACAAACUUUAACUUACACCGCAUCGCCGGGGAACUACGAGCUAAGCUUAAAACCCAAAGGACUUGACGGUGCCCCAUAUCCCUCUAGAGGAGCCUGUCCUAUAAUCGAUACCCCCCGUUUAACCUCACCAUUCUUAGCUUUUCAGCCUGUAUACUUCCGUCGUCAGUUUACCGCGUGAGCGAACAAGUAAACUCAAUGUCCCUAGUCAAUACGUCAGGUCAAAGUGCAGCACAUGAGAUGGAAAGAGAUGGGCUACACUUUCUACUUUAGAAGACACGAAAGAUUAUGUGAAACCAUAUUCAAAAGGCGGAUUUAGUAGUAAGAAGGGCUAGAGUACCCCUCUUAACUCGGCACUGGGGUGUGUACACACCGCCCGUCACCCUCUU
Molecule: ribosomal RNA, 708 nt
Filed under: Pristimantis miyatai (Miyata's robber frog)
Lineage: Eukaryota; Metazoa; Chordata; Amphibia; Anura; Strabomantidae
Description: partial small subunit ribosomal RNA
Rfam family: Bacterial small subunit ribosomal RNA
Source: RNAcentral